This is a long non-coding RNA of Erpetoichthys calabaricus (reedfish), 195 nucleotides long. RefSeq lists it as uncharacterized. The transcript has 2 exons. The record is from RefSeq and is a predicted model, not a curated record. Lineage: Eukaryota; Metazoa; Chordata; Cladistia; Polypteriformes; Polypteridae.
GGUUUCCAGGGUCUUCAAAUGUCCUUGUAAGGGUUCCUAUGCCAGGCACAUUGACAGCUUAUUCUAAACUGGCACAGUCUAGCCAUGUACAUGGAUGGACUUAGUAAUGAAGUGGUAUCCCAUCCACAGGUCAUACCCUGCCUCUCUGUGAUUUUAGAACUCAAAAAAAUGAUUAUUGAAAUUGAUGGAUGGAUG